UAGUAUUUGUAAGAAUUCUUACGCAUCAACAUUUAUUGCUAGUUUGGAAAUUUAGUGCAUCUAUAGUCCGACUAAAUACUUAUAAUGCAUGCACAAAUUCAAAAUAUUGAAUCCAGAUUCUUGAUUGUGACAUAUUAAACUACUUUGAUCAAAGGUGUCAUGCUGAUAAUAGUUUCAAAAGGAUUUAUGGAAAACCAUGAGGAAAAUAAUUACUAUUGUUAGCUAAUAAACAUGCUGGCAUGAUCAUGAAGAAUUCUAGUGAACCAAAGCCUAUGCUCAACAUCCGACCCUGGCCUCCUCGUUGGCUGAGUGCAAGUCUAAAAAAUUU
Molecule: long non-coding RNA, 328 nt
Filed under: Capsella rubella
Lineage: Eukaryota; Viridiplantae; Streptophyta; Magnoliopsida; Brassicales; Brassicaceae
Description: long non-coding RNA (CRUB_LNC003171)
Source: RNAcentral